AGGUUUAUUUCUUUUCGUUUUUUUUUUUGUGUUUU
RNAcentral lists this small RNA (35 nucleotides) under Arabidopsis thaliana (thale cress). RNAcentral's name for it is "ATSL015490". Lineage: Eukaryota; Viridiplantae; Streptophyta; Magnoliopsida; Brassicales; Brassicaceae. The record is from RNAcentral.